This is a long non-coding RNA of Loxodonta africana (African savanna elephant), 2867 nucleotides long. RefSeq lists it as uncharacterized. Lineage: Eukaryota; Metazoa; Chordata; Mammalia; Proboscidea; Elephantidae. The transcript has 3 exons. The record is from RefSeq and is a predicted model, not a curated record.
UGUCGCCCUUCGCAUGACUGAUGGCCCCACCGGACGUCUCCGCGCCCACAGCCUGCGCACUGGUUCCUGCGGGCGCCCGCGGCUGCGAGGUUUGAGGAAGGGGCGCCCGCCGCAGGGCCUUGUUCGCCGGGGAAGUGGGGCCGGGACGUGGGGACGCACCUGGUGCAGGCGGUCAUCGUGGGCCCCAACAGCCCUGGCGGCCUCCUCGCAGCGCCGAGGCACGGGGGCCACCACAGGCCCCGGGGACAGCAGCGGAGGGGGCGGCCGGUGGCCGGCCUUCCCGAGCCCUCUAAAGCUGCAUAGUGUUGGGAGCUUGGCCUCACCUGGAGCCAGGUGCCCAGGUGGGGCCAAUCCACAGGCACCUCCCAGGGCCGCCCAGAGUCGCACUCAGGGAUAGGCAGCUGCGCAGUGCGCUCCUACCCCGAAGUCCUUGUCGGUGAGGUCCCCAGCCCUUCAUCCACCACCUGUCCCGAGCUCCCCUCCAGCCCCUCGGUGAGGGUUCAGUGAAGCCCUGGGCUUCCCCAUUUGUGUAGGCCUCACUCACCACCCUUUUUCACUAUUUCUGUUUCAUUUGUAAACUAAAACCAAGGCUGUUUCUCUCAGGUUUGAGUGCAUUCCUCCCUCCCUUUCCCUUCCACAGAGAGCGGGUCCCCCAUCCCACCUGGCCUCUGGGUCAGCCCCCUGUCCCCCAUCCCGCUUGGCCUCUGGGUCAGCCCCCUGUCCACCAUCCUGCCUGGCCUCUGGGUCAGCCUCCUGUCCCCCUACCCCCCAUCCCACCUGGUCUCUGGGUCAGGCCCUGUCCCAGUGUCCUGGCCCCCACCUCCCUGCCUGCUUCGCCCCUUCCCGUUCAGUGUGCCCCAGGCUUCCUUUCUCCUAGGGACAGCUCCCCAAGAUGGCACGGUCAUCAGUGUCCUGAAAUGUCACUGUGAUGGCAUCCACAGUCAAAACGGCCCCCACUCAACAUCAUCAGGAAGAUGCCAGGGUCCCACUGAGGGGUUCAGAGACAGCAUGCCUGCCCGGCCUGGAGGUCCCCUCCCCUGGAAUGCUGCACAGCCUCAUUCUGCACCAGCUGUCCCAUCGGGAAGAGAAAACCAUGGUUGCCGGGCAACGUGAGGUGAUGCCUGGAGACGAGAUGCAAGACUACACAGGCAUCGUGCCCAAAGGUCAAACACCAGCUGCACCACAGGGCCCCACACAGCCACUGUGGGUGGCUGCAUGUAUGUGUAUAUCUACAUGUGGGUCUGUGCGCAUCUGCGUGUAUGUGUAUGCAUGUGUAUAUCUGCAUAUAUGUGUGUCAUGGAUUGAACUAUGUCCCCCCCAAAAUGUGUGUAUUAACUUGAUUAGGCCAUGAUUCCCAGUAUUAUGUGGUUAUCCACCAUUUUGUGAUUGUAAUUUUAUGUUAAAGAGGAUUAAGGCGAGAUGUAACACCCUUACCAGAUCAUAUCCCUGAUCCAAAGUAAAGGGAGUUUCCCUGGGGUAUGGCCUGCACCACCUUUUAUCUCACAAGACAUAAAAGGAAAGGGAAGCUAGCAGAGGGGGGGACCUCAGGACCUCAUACCACCAAGAAAGAAGCACCGGGAGUAGAGCACGUCCUUUGGACCCAGGGUUCCUGUGCAGAGAUGCUCCCAGACCAAGGGAAGACUGAUGACAAGGACUUUCCUCCAGAACCAACAGAGAGAGAAAGCCUUCCCCUGGAGCUGGCACCCUGAAUUCAGACUUCUAGCCUACUGGACUGUGAGAGAAUAAACUUCUCUUUGUUAAAGCCAUCCGCUUGUGGUAUUUCUGUCAUAGCAGCACUAGAUAAUGAAGACAAUAUGUGUAUAUAUGUGUGUCAUGGAUUGUGUCCCCCAAAAAUAUGUGUGUCAAUUUGGCUAGGCCAUGAUUCCCAGUAUUGUGUGAUUGUCCACCAUUUUGUCAUCUAAUGUGAUUUUCCUGUGUUGUAAAUCCUAUCACCACCACGUUAAUGAGAUGGAGUAGCGGCAGUUAUGUUGAUGAGAUCUACAAGACUAGAUUUUGUCUUAAGUCAAUCUCUUUUGAGAUAUAAAAAAGCAGGCAGAUGAGACAUGGGGAACCUCAUACCACCAAGAAAGCAGCGCCAGGAGCAGAGCACAUCCUUCGGAACCGAGGUUCCUGUGAGGAGAAGCUCCUCGACCAAGGGAAGAUUGAUGACAAGGACCUUCCUCCAGAGCUGACAGAGAAAGAAAGCCCUCUCCUGGAGCUGGCGCCCUGAAUCCGGGCUACUAGCCUACAAAACUGUGAGAGAAUAAAUUUUCCUUUGUUAAAGCCACCCACUCGUGGUAUUUCUGUUGUAGCGGCCCUAUGACUAAGACAAUGUGUGUAUAUGUGCAUAUGUGUAUGCACGUGUUUGUGUGCACGUGUGUCUGCGUGAGUGCACGUGCAUGCAACAUAUAUGUGCAUGUACAUGUGUGUAUGUAUGUGUCUGCGUGUGUGUCUGUGUGAGUAUGUGUGUGCAUGUGUAUGUGUGUGAGUGGGCACGUGUGUAUUGUGUACAUGUGCCCAUGUGUAGGUGUAUGCGUGCGUCUGUGAGUAUGUGUGUCUGUGCAUUAGUGUAUGUGUAUGAGUGUAUGCGUAUAUGCACGCCUGCAUGUAUCUGCACACACGUGUGUGGGUGUACGUGUAUAUGUGUGCAUGUGUGUACUUGUGUGUACGCAUGCACACACACAUGCAGACACCAUUAAAGGAGGUGCUCACAACUGCUACCUGAGUCCUUAUUCUUCUAGCCUGUCCACAUUUCCCUAACUGUGUGUGAUGCGCAUCACUGCCCAGCCUGUCACCAUGUUGUUGCAGCUUUUUCAGGGCACUUGAGCCCCAGGAGCCCACAGGCCUGCACAGCCUCAAUGGGGUGG